CAGGUCCCAGGGAGGCGUCCCAGCUAG
RNAcentral lists this small RNA (27 nucleotides) under Bombyx mori (domestic silkworm). RNAcentral's name for it is "ovarian small RNA-4728". Lineage: Eukaryota; Metazoa; Arthropoda; Insecta; Lepidoptera; Bombycidae. The record is from RNAcentral.